RNAcentral lists this ribosomal RNA (254 nucleotides) under uncultured bacterium. RNAcentral describes it as "partial 16S ribosomal RNA". It matches the Rfam family "Bacterial small subunit ribosomal RNA", at positions 524 to 776 of the family's 1533-position model. The record is from RNAcentral.
CACGUAGGGGGCAAGCGUUGUCCGGAUUUAUUGGGCGUAAAGAGCUCGUAGGCGGUUCGGUAAGUCGGGUGUGAAACCUCCAGGCUCAACCUGGAGACGCCACCCGAUACUGCUGUGACUGGAGUCCGGUAGGGGAGCGUGGAAUUCCUGGUGUAGCGGUGAAAUGCGCAGAUAUCAGGAGGAACACCAGCGGCGAAGGCGGCGCUCUGGGCCGGUACUGACACUGAGGAGCGAAAGCGUGGGUAGCAAACAGG